GUGCAUUUGGAAAAGAGGUCUGUCCCAGUGAGCAGUCAUAAAAGAACGGUGUGUGUCUGGGCUUAGAGGAUUGAGUAGAAGCUGCAUGUGAUUCUGGAUGAUGGGAAAUCUUUAGGAAUCAGUAACAGGCACAGCCCUCACCCCACCUCCUCCUCCUACCAUUUCUCUGAAGAGAUUUUGAACAAGGGAGAUCCCUUCAGCACCUGCUCAGGUUUUCAGAGGGUCAGAGGGGUGCCCAUUUAUUCAGUGCCAUCCCACUGGCACCAGGAAGACUUCCAUUAUAUGCCUCUGCAGGGAGGGCGCUUAAGAAUGUGCACUGGCUAUUCAUUCCAGAGUUAAUGCAUGACUAUUGGAAUGAAAAUGACUAGGCUGGGUUAUAGAAAGAAAAGGUAGAUGCCAGUUACUGCAUGGUGACGUACUUGACACUGUCAGUCAGCACUCCAGUCAUCAAAUCGAAUAUUCCCACUCUGUAAUGCAUGUAACAUCACCUGUCUGCGAUAAACUCUAAUUGUCUGAUACAACUGUUCACUGGGCCAGUGGCGGAUGUUCCUCUCUAUUCGGCCAGGCCUCAGAUGCACAACGGCUAUUUUAUCAUGCAGAUAGGAGCAGGUUGGGCGUGGGGCAACUGAAGAGCCAUCUGAAAAGGAUGACCAAAUGGCUGGCAGCAGUGUAGGAGGGGUGAAUCCAUUGACUUCAGCAUUUCCAAAAUGGCUUUUUAAUGCCUUGCUUCAGACCCCAGACAUUGGCUAAUAGCUUCACCCUUUCAGGAGUUAAAAAGAAGGCCAAAAAGAAACCAAUAAAAGGGCAUGUGGUCUGAUUAAUGUCUUACUGAAUUAAAAGGGAUUUUUCUGGACUGUUUUUUUGCUCACACUUAACCUCUUUUUUUUGCUGUUUUUUAUACCUUUUUGGGUUCUCUUUAAGACUGCAAGUCAUUUUCAAUUCCUUUUGGUAUUGAUCUUCCAAUAGAAAUCAGUUUUGUAAUUAGCUGCAAAUUAGACCCAGUACUCUGGGUGAGGGCUGUCCCCCUGAUUUAUCACCAGUGUAAUUCACCACGAUUGGAGAGAAAUUAAAAUGAACUCAAUUAAGGCCACAGCAUUUGCUUUAUAUGCAUCCACUUGGAGUUUCAAGGGAAAAAUUAAUAGUCGCUUGUUGUUUAAUAGUCCAUUGAAAGUAAAUAAAGGUUAGGUCUAAGACGGCUGUUUAUAAAAAAGAUAUAAAAGGAUCUGACCCUUGUAUUAUUUCAAGAAGGCAUAAAAUGUGCUUCUGGCUGUAUUUGGGCUUGAUGAACUAAGGCUUAUAAAAUAAUAUGUUUAAUUUAAUUUAUAUAGCACCUUUCCCAAGCUCAAGGACGCUUUACAAGAUACAGUAUUUCAAGACAGAUGAAAUAUAGUGUAACAUACAUAUACAUAUU
Long non-coding RNA from Tachysurus fulvidraco (yellow catfish), 1411 nucleotides. RefSeq lists it as uncharacterized. The transcript has 5 exons. The record is from RefSeq and is a predicted model, not a curated record. NCBI's taxonomy places the organism in Eukaryota, Metazoa, Chordata, Actinopteri, Siluriformes, Bagridae.